CGCGGGGGAGGAAAGAGGGGAGGGUACCGGGUGGAAUUUUGGAGGAGGGGAACCACUUUUAGCACUUUUAAUCCAUUUUAGCACCUCUUGAGAGGCUAAUGAAUUAUGAGGGGCUAAAAUUUAGCCCUUUCAUUUUAGCUUGGGCUAAAAUUUAGCACCCUCCUCGUCAAUCGCCAUCUUCCUCCUUCGGUCUCUCUGACGCUCGCCCAAAUCGCCUCCCGAUCCGUCCCACGCCACGCUCGCGUCGCCCUAUCUCCUCUCCUCGGCCGCGGCGGCAGUAGUGCCGCAUGCCCGUGACGACAGGGAUGUGGGCGGUGUUUGCAACAAUGGUCGACGGAGGCUGUGGGGGCAGCUCCUUCUUCCGCGGCGCAUUAGUCCCAAACGUGUCGCAGCCCGUCGUCCCGUGGUCGCAGCCAUGGAGGCUGCCGCCCCCUCCUCGCCGCCGCGAUGGUCUCCAGUCUCCACCUCCUCGCAGCCACGACCUCUGACAUCGGGCAUGGUUGCGCUUCCACGACGACAUCAUUGUCUUACCUGCAGCGCUGCUCGAAUGUGAAGGGCUUAAAGGGAGCAAGUGAUCUCUUCCUGGUAAUCAUAUCUGAAGCCGCGAGAAGCGGUGGUUUUUUUUUUCCCUCUGUUCCACUUUCAACUUUACUGCUACGGAUUCGUGGGUCGUAGAGUGUCUCAUGGAAUUUGUUUAGUGGCUGUUCGAUAUCAACAGGAGGGAGGAUGUACCGAAGAAUGUUGACGUAACUAUUGUUUUAACUGGAUUAAGGUUAUUAGCAUUUCCA
Setaria italica (foxtail millet) is the source of this 788-nucleotide long non-coding RNA. RefSeq lists it as uncharacterized. The record is from RefSeq and is a predicted model, not a curated record. The transcript has 2 exons. NCBI's taxonomy places the organism in Eukaryota, Viridiplantae, Streptophyta, Magnoliopsida, Poales, Poaceae.